Molecule: ribosomal RNA, 253 nt
Filed under: uncultured bacterium
Lineage: Bacteria
Description: partial 16S ribosomal RNA
Rfam family: Bacterial small subunit ribosomal RNA
Source: RNAcentral
GACGAGGGGUCCUAGCGUUGUUCGGAAUCACUGGGCGUAAAGCGUAUGUAGGCGGCUUUUCAAGUCAGGUGUGAAAUCCCAUGGCUUAACCAUGGAACUGCAUUUGAAACUGUAAAGCUUGAGUAUUGGAGAGGAUGGUAGAAUUCCUGGUGUAGUGGUGAAAUACGUAGAUAUCAGGAGGAAUACCGGUGGCGAAGGCGGGUCUCUGGGCAGUAACUGACGCUGAGGAGCGAAAGCGUGGGGAGCGAACAGG